This 247-nucleotide ribosomal RNA is filed under the name uncultured bacterium. Its description in RNAcentral is "partial small subunit ribosomal RNA". It matches the Rfam family "Bacterial small subunit ribosomal RNA", at positions 26 to 285 of the family's 1533-position model. The record is from RNAcentral.
AGAAUCAACGCUGGCGGCGUGCCUAACACAUGCAAGUCGAACGAGAAAGUGGUAGCAAUACCAUGAGUAAAGUGGCGCACGGGUGAGUAACACGUGACUAACCUACCCUGGAGUGGGGGAUAACUGAGGGAAACCUUAGCUAAUACCGCAUAAUACCUACGGGUCAAAGGAGCAAUUCGCUUCAGGAGGGGGUCGCGUCCGAUUAGUUAGUUGGCGGGGUAAUGGCCCACCAAGACAGUGAUCGGUA